Molecule: ribosomal RNA, 253 nt
Filed under: uncultured bacterium
Lineage: Bacteria
Description: partial 16S ribosomal RNA
Rfam family: Bacterial small subunit ribosomal RNA
Source: RNAcentral
GACGAACCGUGCGAACGUUGUUCGGAUUCACUGGGCUUAAAGGGCGCGUAGGCGGGCUCGCCAGUCAGGGGUGAAAUCCUCCGGCUUAACCGGAGAACAGCCUUUGAUACUGCGAGUCUCGAGGAAGGUAGGGGCAUGUGGAACUUCCGGUGGAGCGGUGAAAUGCGUAGAUAUCGGAAGGAACGCCGGUGGCGAAAGCGACGUGCUGGACCUUUACUGACGCUGAGGCGCGAAAGCCAGGGGAGCAAACGGG